CAGCAGCCGCGGUAAUACGAAGGGGGCNAGCGUNGUUCGGACCUACUGGGCGUAAAGCGCACGNAGGCGGAUNGUUAAGNNAGGGGNGAAAUCCCAGGGCUCAACCCUGGAACNGCCUNUAAUACUGGCAAUCUCGAGNCCGGAAGAGGUGAGUGGAAUNCCGAGUGUAGAGGUGAAAUNCGUAGAUAUUCGGAGGAACACCAGUGGCGAAGGCGGCUCACUGGUCCGGUACUGACGCUGAGGUGCGAAAGCGUGGGGAGCAAACAGGAUUGGAUACCCUGGUAGUCCACGCUGUAAACGAUGGAAGCUAGCCGUCGGCAAGUUUACUUGUCGGUGGCGCAGCUAACGCAUUAAGCUUCCCGCCUGGGGAGU
RNAcentral lists this ribosomal RNA (372 nucleotides) under uncultured bacterium. RNAcentral describes it as "partial 16S ribosomal RNA". It matches the Rfam family "Bacterial small subunit ribosomal RNA", at positions 509 to 881 of the family's 1533-position model. The record is from RNAcentral.